UUCCGGUUCUUUCGUACUUGGGCCAAUAAACGUGAACUGAGUGCUAACGAUAUGUGAAAUUCCCAGUUGCCUAGAGAGGCCCCUUUGAAGCCUUUUCCAGUACCAUCGUGGGUUGCUGAACCGGGUUCCCGAGUUGCACGGAAGUGUUUGGCAGCGGGUGGCGGGGACCAGAGACAGGCUGGUGCCACCUCCUGCUUCUCUGGUUGCGUGGCGUCCUGGAGGGACUGGGCUGAGCGGGGGUGCGGAGGAGGCUGGGGCGUUGAGCUUCACUUCACCCAAGGGUUGUGUACCUCUUCCUGGAGGAGCGGGGGUUUCUGCCGCUGGCGCUGGGGGCUCAGUAUAGAGGUGCUAGUGCCAGGAGACCAAUAACAACCUUGGGGUGCUCGGUGGGGUGCGGCCGCUUUCCUCUCUUUUCGGGCCUCCCCCGAGCCCUCUUUCAAGAGGGACCUAGCUGAUGGGCUGUGUAAUCAGUCCCAUAGUAGUAAGGGACCAGGGAUGGAAUCCUGCUGCUUAAAGGGGCUUCAUCCUGAAACUUUUAUACCAGGAGCCAGCUGGUGGUGGGGAGGUAGUGGCUUCUUGCACUGUGAAGGCACCCUCACCGCCUAACCAAAACUCAUGCCUCCACUCCUUCCCCAGGAUUCCCUGGUCCAAGCUAGUACUUAUUUUCUUGCUGGAGCAAGAGAGCCUGAAGCCUAGAAUCCUGCGUCUGAGAUGACGGUGCACAAGUGACCUAACCCAGCCCAGCAUGAUUCUCGCCUAUGAGAUUAAAUGAUAAGAGUAGUGACACAGGGAUUUCUCACUGUGGCUCAGUGAAUGUGGACACGAAUUUGACUAGCAUCCACGAGGAUUCGAGUGCGAUCCCUGGCCCCGCUCAGUGGGUUAAUGCCCUGGCAUUGUCUCGAUCUGCGGUGUAGGUUGUAGACACGGCUCAGAUUCCACAUUGCUUUUGCUGUGGCUGUGGUGUAGGCCAGCAGCAGUAGUUCCAAUUCAACCCCUAGCCUGGGAACCUCCAUGUGCCAAGGAAGCAGCACUAAAAAGAAAAAAAAAAAAAAAAAAAGAAUAGUGACACAGAAAGGGUAGAAUGGAAAGAGCCCCCACUGGUAAGAAUUGGUGUAGAAAGUGAAGACACCCCAACUUGGUAACCAAGGACUCAUUCAGAGAGAUCUCCCAGGACUACAGCAACUCUCUUCAUAACACAGGGCCUGCUGGGUCCUUUGGAAAUCCGCCAUGAGGCUUCUAGUUCAAAUAGGUAGCUGUUCUUCCAGCUGAGGUGUUCAUUCCCCUCUCCCCAUUCAGGACUGGCUACACAAGUAGCCUGAGGAUGAGCCCCUGCUGGUUUGGUGAUGCUUCCUGCUGUGUUUGGAGAGCCCUUCCAACCUUGGGCUGAACCUGUGGCAUAUGGAAGCUCGCAGCCACAGCAACCUACCAGAUCCGACCCGCGUCUAAGACCUACCCCACAGCUUAUGGCAACGCUGGAUCCUUAACCCACUGACUGAGGCCAGGGAUCAAACCCACGUCCUCAUGGAUACUUGUCCGGUUCAUUACCGCUGAGUCACAAAUGCCUACCUUUAAGGGCUUUCUUUUUUGCCUCCCCGCCCACGGCAUUUGCAGUUCCCCAGUCAGGGGUCAGAUCCAAACCACAGCUGCAAUACUCUACCCUUAAUCCACUGUGCUGGGUUGGAGUCAAACCUGCAUCCCAGUGCAACCAUCCCAUUAUGCCACAGCAGGAACUCCUUAAAGGCUUUAACAUGGCUGGUGAUGGCUUAUUUCUGACAAGCAGAACUAUCCCUCACCUCCUGACAAAACCACAAUUUUCCAAGCCCUGAAUGGGGAAAAGCAUGGCAUCUGCCCAUGGAAUGAGGACCCGCUGAUGGCAGCUGAGACUGGGGGUUCAGAAAUAAGGGACUCUGCCAGAUGAACAGGACCUGCUGUCCCCUUCACACACUCCUCCCCAUUUGGAGAGAAAACAGGUGUGGUGAUGCAAGCCCUUGAGUCUUCAGUUUCAAUUCUCUCGUCUCUUUAGAAGCAAGACAAAGAAGAAGGAAGCGGCCUAGGGAGCCUGAGGAUGCUCCUGUGAGGAACGGGCCCCCCACUGAAGGCCAGGCUGCUCCCUGGCUUAAUGGACUGUGACCAUUCUUUGCCUCAGGUCCCCAGCCAACACCAGACACCAACGUGCUAAGACUGCCAAGAGGCCCUAGCCCUGCCUGGAAUGUAGCCGAUCUUUCAGCCACCCCUCCUUCCUAGUCAGCUACCAGGGGGUCCACUCUGGGGAGCGGCCCUGCCCCUGAGACCAGUGUGGACGUUGCUUCUGCCAAAGAGGCACCCUGGCUGUCCAUAUCCACGUGGGCACACUGGAGAGAAGCCUUUCCGCUGCCCAGACUGUGGAAGGCUCUUUGCUUCCCACUCGAUGCUGGUCAGAUAUCCAGUGAAUCCAUCCCGGAGACCAUCUUUAUGUCUGUGCGCCUUACGGAGUUCGGUUCUCCCAGAGGGCUCACCUGGUCCAGCACCAGCUGCUCCACACGGGGACAAGCCCUAUGCACAUCCAGAUUGUGGCCGAUGCUUCCGGCAGUUCACAGACACAGCUCGGAUCCCAUGUUGCUGAAGCUGUGGUGAGGCCAGCAGCUGUAGAUCUGAUUCAGCCCCUAGACUGGAAACCUCCAUAUGCCGCUGGUGCAGCCCUAAAAAGACCAAAAAAAAAAAAAACAAAAAACAAAAAAAAAACAACAAACCCAAUUAGUAUUCUGUCCAGCCUGCAUUCCCACUUCCUGGAUGUUGGAAGGGGGCCUAGCGCCCUGAGCGAGACCAAGCAAUCGAAUCUGCAACCUCAUGAUUCCUAGUUGGCUUUGUUUCUGCCACGCCACAUCAGGAACUCCUCGGCUCAGGCUUUAAUCAUCUCCUUUCCUUUUCCACGUUAGCAUCUUCUCCGUGUUCAGUUGGCAGCGCAUCAUUACCAAUUGGGCAAAAUGUCCACGAAGAUUAGGUCCUUUCUAGCCUCCUCUAUUUAGUCCAUUUCUUCCUUCAAAAUGAAAUGGAUUCACAGGAGUUCCCUUGUGGUACAGUGAGUUAAGGAUCCAAUGUUGUCACUGCAGUGGCUUGGGUUGCUGCUGUGGCACAGGUUCGAUCCCUGGCCUAGGAACUUCCAUAUGCUGUGGGCACAACAAAAAAAACCCCAAUAAGACAAAACAAACAAAAAAACCCCAAACAAACAAAAAGAAAUUUUUGCUAUUCAUUUGCCUUUUUAUUCCUUUUGCAGCCUAAGUUUACAUUCUUAUUUCUCCAAGCAGAAGUAUGUGUGUGCAGAGAGAGUAGGCACAAAGCUAUCAGUUCAUCUUGCAGACUCCCGGCGCAGUCUUACUAAAACAUCAAUGAAAGGUCAUUUGUUUCUCUAGACUGAUCUAGAGCUCCCCGAUGUACAGGAUGAAGCCCUGCACCAACCUCCCCUUCCAGUCCUCCAGUGUUACCCUAAGUGUAUCCUGUACUACAUUAGAACUUUCCUGAAGUUCUGCCUUGUGCCCGAGAUUUCACAGCCAUGGAAUUCAGGUGUUUAGUCAACAAAUGUAUAUCGAACAGCACUGCUCUCCUUACAUCCUACCUGUUCAUAGACCAAAGUCAUUGGUCCCACUGAGUUAGCGAUCUGGAAAGCUAUUAGGAGGAGGGACUCUGCCUUUUGGGGGACAAUCAUGGAAUUCCACGUGCUUCCCCAGUAAUUUGUUCAGGUAACAGUCACCAUCCUUGGACAGAGUAGAACUCAAUGAAGGCUUACUGCAGGUUGCUUUGGGUUUUGUUUUUUUCUUUUUACAGCUGCAGGUGCGGCAUAUGGAGAUUCCCAGGCUAGGGGUCGAAUUGGAGCUACAGCUGCAGGCCUACACCACAGCCCCAGUAACAUGGGAUCGAGUACAUCUGUGACCUACAAUGCAGCUCAUGGCAACGCCAGAUCCUUAAGCCACUGACCAAGGCCAGGGAUCGAACCCAAGUCCUCAUGGAUACUAGUCAGGUUCAUCACUGCUGAGCCACGAGAACGCUUCUUUUUUUUUUUUUAAACAGACAAAACUGCGUUAUAUGGAAGUUUCCAGGUUGGCAGUUGAAUCCAAGCUGCAUCUGAGACCUAUGCCGCACACAGGAUUCACUGCAUCUGACUGGGGAUUGAACCCAUACCUGGGCAGCAACUUGAGCAGCUGCAGUGUGAUGAUUCUUUUUUUUUUGGUCUUUUUUUUUCCCAUUUCUUGGGCCGCUCCUGCGGCAUAUGGAGGUUCCAGGCUAGGGGUCCAAUCCAGCAACAGCAACGCGGGGAUCCGAGCCGUGUCUGCAACCUACACCACAGCUCAUGGAAAUGCCGGAUCCCUAACCCACUGAGCAAGGCCAGGGAUCGAACUCACAACCUCAGGGUUCCCAGUCAGAUUCGUUAACCACUGAGCCAUGAUGGGAACUCCUGCAGUGAGAUUCUUAACCCACUGUGCCAUAGCAGGAACUCCUAUGAACAUAUUAAUGUUAUUAUCUAUAUUACUUAUAUCUUGUGUAUUGUGUUUUAUAAGAUUAAUGCCUCUUGCAUUAGCCAAUGUAUAACCAGGCCUCAACAAAAUCGAUGGCUAAAUGUCGCGUGGCUGUGUGUGUGUGUGUGUGUGUGAAGUUUUAUAAAGAAUAAAACUUCUAUUUUUUUCAGGAAAAACUGCUAUAUAUCCUGGCUCCUGCCUCUCUGGAGCAGUUCCUCGGAGCUAUCUGGGAGGUUGCAGUGCUCAGCAAAGUCCCCAACGUGCAAUUUUUAGGUCCUGCGUUUUUUUUCAAUGGACAAAAUCUUUGCUCGCUUUCCUUACUAGCAGGACCCCUCUGAGAUUUUCUUAGUUAGUAGAACUAGGUUGAUAAUCAUCCCUUCACACAAUGGUAACAAAAAAUAAAUAAGACGAAAUGUG
Molecule: non-coding RNA, 4907 nt
Organism: Sus scrofa (pig)
Lineage: Eukaryota; Metazoa; Chordata; Mammalia; Artiodactyla; Suidae
Source: RefSeq, a predicted model, not a curated record